RNAcentral lists this transfer RNA (74 nucleotides) under Halovulum marinum. RNAcentral's name for it is "Rhodobacteraceae bacterium 2CG4 tRNA-Gln". It matches the Rfam family "tRNA". From Rfam's summary of the family: Transfer RNA (tRNA) molecules are approximately 80 nucleotides in length. Lineage: Bacteria; Pseudomonadati; Pseudomonadota; Alphaproteobacteria; Rhodobacterales; Paracoccaceae. The record is from RNAcentral.
UGCCCGAUCGUCUAGUGGUAGGACACCUGAUUUUGGCUCAGGCAGCUGUGGUUCGAAUCCACAUCGGGCAUCCA